Molecule: transfer RNA, 72 nt
Filed under: Actinia tenebrosa (Australian red waratah sea anemone)
Lineage: Eukaryota; Metazoa; Cnidaria; Anthozoa; Actiniaria; Actiniidae
Description: tRNA-Pro
Rfam family: tRNA
About the family: Transfer RNA (tRNA) molecules are approximately 80 nucleotides in length. Their secondary structure includes four short double-helical elements and three loops (D, anti-codon, and T loops). Further hydrogen bonds mediate the characteristic L-shaped molecular structure. tRNAs have two regions of fundamental functional importance: the anti-codon, which is responsible for specific mRNA codon recognition, and the 3' end, to which the tRNAs corresponding amino acid is attached (by aminoacyl-tRNA synthetases). tRNAs cope with the degeneracy of the genetic code in two manners: having more than one tRNA (with a specific anti-codon) for a particular amino acid; and 'wobble' base-pairing, i.e. permitting non-standard base-pairing at the 3rd anti-codon position.
Source: Rfam by way of RNAcentral
GGUCCGUUGGUCUAGUGGUAUGAUAUUCGCUUCGGGUGCGAGAGUUCCCGGGUUCAAUUCCCGGACGGACCC